UAGUAACUGCGAGUGAAGCGGGAAAAGCUCAAAUUUAAAAUCUGGCAGUCUUUUGGCUGUCCGAGUUGUAAUUUAGAGAAGCGUCUUCCGCGCCGGACCGUGCACAAGUCUCCUGGAAUGGAGCGUCAUAGAGGGUGAGAAUCCCGUCUUUGGCAUGGACACCCGGGGCUUCUGCGAUGCGCUCUCGAAGAGUCGAGUUGUUUGGGAAUGCAGCUCAAAAUGGGUGGUGAACUCCAUCUAAAGCUAAAUAUUGGCGAGAGACCGAUAGCGAACAAGUACCGUGAGGGAAAGAUGAAAAGCACUUUGGAAAGAGAGUGAAACAGUACGUGAAAUUGUUGAAAGGGAAACGCUUGAAGUCAGUCGCGUCGAUCGAGACUCAGCCUUGCCUUGGCUUGGCAUACUUCUCGGCUGACGGGCCAGCAUCAAUUUUGUCUCUCGGAUAAUGACAAGGGAAAGGUGGCACCUUUACCGGUGUGUUAUAGUCUCCUGUCGCAUGCGAGGGGUGGGAUUGAGGAACUCAGCACGCACCUCUUGGUGUCGGGGCUUCUGCCCACGCUACGUGCUUAGGAUGUUGGCGUAAUGGCUUUAAACGACCCGUCUUGAAACACGGACCAAGGAGUCUAACAUGCCCGCGAGUGUUCGGGUGGAAAACCCGUGCGCGUAAUGAAAGUGAAAGUUGGGACCUCUAUCGUGGAGGGCACCGACGCCCGGACCAGACCUUCUGUGACGGAUCUGCGGUAGAGCGUGCAUGUUGGGACCCGAAAGAUGGUGAACUAUGCCUGAAUAGGGUGAAGCCAGAGGAAACUCUGGUGGAGGCUCGUAGCGAUUCUGAC
Molecule: ribosomal RNA, 833 nt
Filed under: Lactifluus albopicrus
Lineage: Eukaryota; Fungi; Basidiomycota; Agaricomycetes; Russulales; Russulaceae
Description: partial large subunit ribosomal RNA
Rfam family: Eukaryotic large subunit ribosomal RNA
Source: RNAcentral